Oncorhynchus tshawytscha (Chinook salmon) is the source of this 488-nucleotide long non-coding RNA. The record is from Ensembl. Lineage: Eukaryota; Metazoa; Chordata; Actinopteri; Salmoniformes; Salmonidae.
CUGUGUGUUGUUGUAAUUCUGGGUGGCCAGAUAGUCAGUAACUGUGACAAGAAACUGCCAUUUGGGGAAUCCGGAGAACUGGAAGGAAAGGCAGCCAAAGGAGGUGUUGGCUUUGGGGAUGACCAGUGAGAUAUACCUGCUGGAGAACGUGCUACAGGUGGAUGUUGUUAUCGUGACCAGUGAGCUGAGAUAAGUGACUUCAUGCAACAGGAUGAUUGAUUCUGCCUGCGGUGCUUUCUUUUGGGAGUCUGCGGGGAAAACUGGUGGCGCAUUUUAUGAAGCGUGAGGGAAAUUUCCAUCUGACCAAAAGACGACGAGACCCGACAGACCAGACCCUUACUGUGAGCUGCUCAGGAGGAUACACAUCAUCCACAAACAAUUGAGGGAUGGCAACUGAUGGCAACUUUCAGUAAAUCCAUUUAAAUGAAUCUGUAUAAAAAAAUAUGUAUGAUUUUGUUUUUAAAUCAAGGCGUUUAACGCAUAAAAAG